Molecule: long non-coding RNA, 1331 nt
Organism: Apis dorsata (giant honeybee)
Lineage: Eukaryota; Metazoa; Arthropoda; Insecta; Hymenoptera; Apidae
Exons: 2
Source: RefSeq, a predicted model, not a curated record
CCUCCUUUCAUCCACAUUUUUCACGAUUUUUCACCCCCUUACAACUUGCUAGAUUAUUAAUAUCUCGAUGAAAAUAUUUUUCACGCGGAUAACUUCUAAGUAAAAAUAAUCGCAACGACCUCCUUCGAAGGGUUAAUCCUUUGAAGAAGAGAGAAAAAAAAAAAAAGCAGCAAGAGACAUUUUCCAAGAAAAUAUAUUCCCUUCAGAAACGAAGAAAAGAAAGCAAAGUUUCCUUCCUGCAUCGAAUCACCGCGAUUAAAAGCGAAAAUCUCAUUCGGUUACAAUUAAUUCUUCCCCAAGUUCCACUCGACAAUCCCUCUCUCUCGAAUUUAGAUUUUAUUUAAUUACACCCCUCUGAAAAGUUUGCACGGAGACAACGCCUCCCUCCCUCCCUCCCUUCCUCCUUUCCUUCUCUCCUUCCUUCCUUCCUUCCUGCCUUCCUUCUAUACCGGGACAACACCCGUGAAAUUAAGCGCGCGCGUUUUCAUUAGCGGAUCACCGAUUAAAGGAUCUCUCUCUCUCUCUCCCUCUCUCGUUUUCGCGGUUUCAUUUUUAUUCAUUAUUCCCCUCGGUUUGAAGGGGAGGGCGGAGUGGUAGCCACUCGACUCUGAUUCUCCGCGUUAAACGUUCGUUAUCGCGAUCGUCGAGCAACGUCGACACAUUCGACCCCCCUCCACGCACGACUAUACAUAUUAAUCGGGGAAUUAGCGAAACUGGUUUAAACUCUCCACCCUUCCUAUUGUAGCGCAAAAACAAAGUUGGUGAAUAUUCAUGGACGAGAAAACGAUACGGAUGCGAUAUAAUGCGGUUUUAAUUGUGGGAAACUUUUGCCCCCGAGCGAGAGAGCCAGUUUUUAUUCGAUACGACGCGGCAGCUUCCUUCCGAUUAACGCGUUCACUGAUCGAAUUUCUCUGUGUACGACAAAUACACAUUCUUUCAGGGAAUGAAUACUUUUUUGCGACGUUUCGUAAAUUCGACGAACAUAUCAAAGUGUGUCUCGAGUGUCUGUGAAUAAUUGUGACGAAUCUUUGUGUGUAAUUUACACGUGUGUAAUGUUUUGAUAAAAACAAGGUUUGAGAAUUUUCGUCGUAUAUAUAAUAACACAAUUUUUGCAUGGGAAUUAACCUUCAUCUUAUUCGAGAUUUAUUAAAAAUAAGUAUAUUGAAAAAUAUAUUAUAUUCUUAUAUAUGGAGAUUAUCUUUGUACGAUUGUAAUUUUGUUAAAAAUGAGAUACGUUGAAAAUAUAAUAGAAACGCCAUCUAUCGCGAUAGAAGAGAAACGAGAGACGUAAUAUAGUUGGUGUUGCUUUAACGAAAUAAAUUCGAACGAUA